UUUCCGUAGGUGAACCUGCGGAAGGAUCAUUAUUGUAUAACCGAGGUGCGAGGGCUGUCGCUGACCCGAAAGGUCGUGCACGCCCGAGUGCCCUCACACACAUUCAUCUCACCCCUAUGUGCACCACCGCGUGGGACCCCCUUUGGCUUGUUCGGAGGGGGGCUUACGUUUUCACACAAACUUUGUAUGCAGUGUAGAAUGUAUUUUUUGUUUUUGCGAUCACGCAAUCAAUACAACUUUCAACAACGGAUCUCUUGGCUCUC
RNAcentral lists this unclassified non-coding RNA (263 nucleotides) under plant metagenome. RNAcentral's name for it is "partial contains small subunit ribosomal RNA, internal transcribed spacer 1, and 5.8S ribosomal RNA". The record is from RNAcentral.